RNAcentral lists this ribosomal RNA (468 nucleotides) under uncultured bacterium. Its description in RNAcentral is "partial 16S ribosomal RNA". It matches the Rfam family "Bacterial small subunit ribosomal RNA", at positions 28 to 507 of the family's 1533-position model. The record is from RNAcentral.
GACGAACGCUGGCGGCGUGCUUAACACAUGCAAGUCGAACGGAAAGGCCCUGCUUUUGUGGGGUGCUCGAGUGGCGAACGGGUGAGUAACACGUGAGUAACCUGCCCUUUACUUUGGGAUAACUUCAGGAAACUGGGGCUAAUACCGGAUAGGAGCUCCUGCUGCAUGGUGGGGGUUGGAAAGUUUCGGCGGUUGGGGAUUGACUCGCGGCUUAUCAGCUUGUUGGUGGGGUAGUGGCUUACCAAGGCUUUGACGGGUAGCCGGCCUGUGAGGGUGACCGGCAACAUUGGGACUGAGAUACGGCCCAGAAUCCUACGGGAGGCAGCAGUGGGGAAUAUUGCACAAUGGGCGGAAGCCUGAUGCAGCAACGCAGCGUGCGGGAUGACGGCCUUCGGGUUGUAAACCGCUUUCGCCUGUGACGAAGCGUGAGUGACGGUAAUGGGUAAAGAAGCACCGGCUAACUACGUG